Molecule: non-coding RNA, 98 nt
Filed under: Ignavibacteria bacterium
Lineage: Bacteria; Pseudomonadati; Ignavibacteriota; Ignavibacteria
Description: TPP sequence
Rfam family: TPP riboswitch aptamer (THI element)
About the family: Vitamin B(1) in its active form thiamin pyrophosphate (TPP) is an essential coenzyme that is synthesised by coupling of pyrimidine and thiazole moieties in bacteria.
Source: RNAcentral
AAAAGCUGUUAGGGGUGUCCCGAUAUACCGGGGCUGAGAUCACACCCUUCAAACCUGAUCCGGGUAAUGCCGGCGUAGGGAAACGGGCAGUAGAAUAA